This 1897-nucleotide long non-coding RNA is filed under the name Homo sapiens (human). Its description in RNAcentral is "non-protein coding lnc-RABEP2-7:1". The record is from RNAcentral. Lineage: Eukaryota; Metazoa; Chordata; Mammalia; Primates; Hominidae.
GUCGAAGCUCUUUUUCCAAAGCUCUGUCUCCCCCACCUCCUCCAGCUUCCCUCUAAGAGUUCCUGUUGGUGUCCGCCCCCAGUCCACAGUCCAGGAGCCAAGAAUUCGUGGCAGACCCCGAGCCACAGCUCGCCAAAUCAUUCACUCAUUGUUAGACAUCUGGGGUUUUCAACUUUCUGUUUUCAUGAAGGACACGAUAAGUGCCCCUGGGCAGCGGCUCCUCUGGAGCUCCAGUCCGAGAACCUCGGGGGUGAAAUUCUGUUCUCAGCUCCGCCCCUGCCCAGGCCGCUCUACCAUCCCAUGAGAGGCUGGAGUUGGAAGCCCCUUGACGUCCCGGCCUCCAUGGGCAUGAGCAUCCCGAGCACCCAGACCUCGGCUUCUCAGUACCGUGUUCCAUUCAAAGUGGCCAGGACUCCUGGGAGAAUUGGCCAGCUCCAGCCUGGGCACGGAAAACACCAGAGGCUUGUAGGAGAUCACGACCCUCCAGGGCUACGAGGCCAUGUCUGAGCACUCAGGAGCCUGCUUGAUGUGGAGGGUGGGGGGGGGGGGGGUGGUGGGAGCUGACAGUGCCAGGAGAUGGCCUGGGGCACAAGCGGCCCCACAGCUCAGGCUCAGACAAGCAGCUGGAAGCCUGGUGCGCGUGGAUGUCCCCAUGGCUUUAAAGGACGCCCCACAGAACACGGAUUAAUCAUAAUAGAGAGAAAGGACAGCGUUGCAGGGGAGGCUGCAGACACGGCAUCAAUUAAACCGUCAGCGUUCACGUCACCAGAGACCGCCCAGGGUGAGAUUUUACACCUGCCGCCAGGACACCUGCAGAAGCGCAGCCUCACCCCCUGCUGUCCCCGCCCACCCAGGAUCUCAUCACCAGGAAUCCAAAGGCAAAGCAGUCCGAGUGCCCACAGCACGGAGGGGCCAGGAGCCUGCACAGGCUGACAGAGAUGGAGGAGAGACGGCGGCUUGGGGAAGGGCGUGACACCAUCAGACUCUGCUCUCAGAAACUCGUGGGGACAGUGGUCAGGCUGCAGUGGGGCCUUGCAGGGACCUGUCCAUUCCCUGAUUCUGACGAUGCUGAGGGCUUGUGAAUGUCCUUGUGUGCAGGAAACACACCAAAGAGCCUGGCUGUGUGGACCACGGUGCAGCCCAGCUGCGCACACUGCGUUUCCUGUACCAUACUCGGCACUCCGGCCUUGCCUGCGCACUGCCUGAGUCUGCAUUAUCUCUGUGUGUAACUUGGCCCCACCCCGGGAUCCGGGGAGGCUGAUCCCCCACGGGCCUCUCCCAACCUGAGCAGCGCCCUCCUGGCCACUGUCCACUGCUGCCUGAGGCCCUGCCCCAGCAGAAGGCACAGGCUGGGACAGGCCUGCAAGAAUGGCCAGGAGGGGCCUCCCAGGGUCGAGGCAUCUGAGCAGCACCCUGCAGGACGGGCAGGCCCCUCAUGCCCCGGGCACCUGCACAGGGCCUGCGAUCUCAUGCAUUCGAAUGGUGCCGAAUGGGCCAGGGUGUCCUGGGGGAUCCUGUCGGGCGCCCUCCUCAGCUCUUCCACUUUCCACAUGAGGACUUGGUGCCCAGCACCUUCCUGUGCAAGAAGUCAGGGAGUUCAAGACGAGAUCAAGGCUGAUCCAGGCCUUGCGCGGCUCCUGCUCACAGGAUCCUGGGGACCGUUUCAAGAAGAGCCUCAGGACACGGAGAAUGCUCAGUCUCCUGGCUCUCCCCGCCAGGCAAGAGGGCCCGGGGGUGGAGGGAAUCCAGGGGACACAGUCCUCACCCCACUGUCAGCGCCAGCAGACCCCAACACUCAUCCCCCAGCCCCAGGCACACAACCCGCCCUGCCGCCCCUCGCCAGGCCCUGCCGGGUGUCCACCCUCUGCGGCAGCAGGUUGGGGAGGAGACGUGCUGG